AAAUGAAGAUUUUGUGACUGAGUGGCGGACGGGUGAGUAACGCGUGGGUAACCUGCCUCAUACAGGGGGAUAACAGUUGGAAACGACUGCUAAUACCGCAUAAGCGCACAGGAUUGCAUGAUCCGGUGUGAAAAACUCCGGUGGUAUGAGAUGGACCCGCGUCUGAUUAGCUAGUUGGCAGGGCAGCGGCCUACCAAGGCGACGAUCAGUAGCCGACCUGAGAGGGUGACCGGCCACAUUGGGACUGAGACACGGCCCAAACUCC
This 265-nucleotide ribosomal RNA is filed under the name uncultured Roseburia sp. Its description in RNAcentral is "partial 16S ribosomal RNA". It matches the Rfam family "Bacterial small subunit ribosomal RNA", at positions 75 to 339 of the family's 1533-position model. The record is from RNAcentral. Lineage: Bacteria; Bacillati; Bacillota; Clostridia; Lachnospirales; Lachnospiraceae.